UUUGGCACUAGCACAUUUUUGCUUUGCUUUAUGUGUUUUGAGCAAUUAUGUGUAGUGCCAAUAU
RNAcentral lists this microRNA precursor (64 nucleotides) under Gallus gallus (chicken). RNAcentral describes it as "Gga-Mir-96-P1_pre stem-loop". It matches the Rfam family "mir-96 microRNA precursor family", at positions 9 to 70 of the family's 78-position model. Lineage: Eukaryota; Metazoa; Chordata; Aves; Galliformes; Phasianidae. The record is from RNAcentral.